AGUGAACGCUGGCGGUAGGCCUAACACAUGCAAGUCGAACGGCAGCACAGGAGAGCUUGCUCUCUGGGUGGCGAGUGGCGGACGGGUGAGGAAUACAUCGGAAUCUACUCUGUCGUGGGGGAUAACGUAGGGAAACUUACGCUAAUACCGCAUACGACCUACGGGUGAAAGCAGGGGACCUUCGGGCCUUGCGCGAUUGAAUGAGCCGAUGUCGGAUUAGCUAGUUGGCGGGGUAAAGGCCCACCAAGGCGACGAUCCGUAGCUGGUCUGAGAGGAUGAUCAGCGACACUGGAAAUGAGACACGGUACAGACUCAUACGAGAGGAAGCAGUGGGGAAUAUUGGACAAUGGGCGCAAGCCUGAUCCAGCCAUACCGCGUGGGUGAAGAAGGCCUUCGGGUUGUAAAGCCCUUUUGUUGGGAAAGAAAUCCAGCUGGCUAAUACCCGGUUGGGAUGACGGUACCCAAAGAAUAAGCACCGGCUAACUUCGUGCCAGCCGCCGCCGUAA
This 506-nucleotide ribosomal RNA is filed under the name uncultured bacterium. RNAcentral describes it as "partial 16S ribosomal RNA". It matches the Rfam family "Bacterial small subunit ribosomal RNA", at positions 29 to 523 of the family's 1533-position model. The record is from RNAcentral.